Rhincodon typus (whale shark) is the source of this 9403-nucleotide long non-coding RNA. RefSeq lists it as uncharacterized. The record is from RefSeq and is a predicted model, not a curated record. The transcript is spliced from 2 exons. NCBI's taxonomy places the organism in Eukaryota, Metazoa, Chordata, Chondrichthyes, Orectolobiformes, Rhincodontidae.
GUUUGAGUACCAGCAAGCACAGCUGGAAGCAGAGAUUGAGAACUUGUCUUGGAAGGUGGAGCGAGCAGACAGUUACGACCGAGGGGAUCUAGAGAAUCAAAUGCAUAUAGCAGAACAGAGACGUAGAACACUGCUUAAGGAUUUUCAUGACACAUCAGACUAAGGAGUCCUGUGGUUGUGGUGCCACAUUGAAAAAGGCGUGGCUGGGGAAGAAGACAAAAUAUUGUUCAGUUUCCUUGUUUUUUUUUAAUCUGCCGUUCCUUUGAUUUUCUUCUUUGUUUGCUGGAAUAGUCAGCAAUGCUCGUGGGUGAUAACCUUCAUGAGCUGCAAUAGUGUUAGACUUAUUUUUAGAAGAAAAAAUGUAUUUCUUUUUUUUAAAGAAAGAGAAAAUAAUAUGUGCUAACAUUGAAAAACGCGAUUGUUUAAACGUUUUAAGAAACCUGGGCUUUUACAAAUGCUUUCACAGGGACUGGAAGAAUUGCAGAAGCCUCAGCUUCCCCACAGACUUUUAUGUAUCUUUUCACUGGAAGAAACUAUUUGGGGCAUUCGUGGCACAACCUGAUUAUAGUGCAUACUGGCACUAGGGCACUCUGCUUAGGUGAUUGUUGGGAAAGCGCACACUGCUUCUAAAUAAGUCAUUUGGGAAUAAUUUGGCUUUCUGGUAUCUUGCAUUAAUGCGCAUACAUAGCCAGCUUUGUGUGGGAGCAAUUUUUUUCGGUUUGAUUUGAGGUGGGGUGUUAAUGUUUGAAGGACGUGAUCAGUCUACAUGAGGUGCCGUAUACUGAGGGGUGCUUAUUAAUGCCUUUUGUAGAACAAGUCUCCUGCAUUUCUGGUCACGGGUCGGAGAGAGGAGAAAGUAAUAGUUAAAUGAGUGCCUGCUGUUACUACCUCUGCUAUGAAUAGAAUAACAGCAGGCUUGCAUUGCGUUGCAAAGCAUUGAGGUUCGUGAAGAUUUAAAAGUUACAUGAAGUACCUGACUUGUAUGGCUCCUGCCCCUGCCCUGAGCAGUUUUCUGUGACCUUGUUAUUUGAUCUUCAAAAAUUAUUUUUUAAAUGCUUUAUACUUUUUUUUUUAAAAAGAAGGAAGUGAUUUGAGCUUCUGUCCCCACUCCCAUCUUGUAAUGGUUUAGUUUAUAUACUUGCUAUUGUUGAGAUGGGACCCUGGUUACACUUAAGGAUAUAUAAUAAAUGAGUUUUUAUACAUUUCAAAUUUGUCAUGCUACCUCGAGUACUCCACUCUGAUCUGGAAUGAUUAGACUGAAUACUUUUUUGGGGGGCUAUUUAUGAUGUGUAUCUUUUUUUAUUUCCAAAAGGUUGCAACAGGUGAUAUAACUUCUGUAAUGUUUUCAAAUACUUGUGCUUUCUGCAGCAUUAGAACCACUGUAUUGUUCAUUAUUGAUAAUAUAAAAGAAAGUUAUUUAAUUCCACUUGCUUGCUAUUGUCUGAAACCUUCCCAAACUCCCCUCCCUUCCCUCCCACCGUGACAGGAACACUGCGCACCUGCGCUGAGCUGAAUUUGCUCCUGGUGUUUUUAUUCUUUGAGUUCUUCCUCUGGCCAAAUGCCCUGAGAAAUUAGCGUGCUCCCAGUCCUGGGUGGCUGUGAUACUCCAACUGCAUGCUGAGCUGGUACUUUGUGCCAUAGCCAGUGUCACCACAGAUUGGAUCAGCUGCUACAUGGUGCUGAUUGCUCUCACUCUGAUUAUAAUUUUUCUUCUUCCUGAUGAAAUAGAGAUUGAAAGUGCAGUGGCUUAAUAAUCAGACCUGUGGCUUUGCUCUUCCUUUUCCCACUUUCCCCAGAGGCACAGAACAUCAAUUUAGUUGAGUUUUUUUUUCCCAUUCUGUGGUGUACCUAGCUGGUUGACGACAAUUUAAUGUUGAGUUUGUUAAUGUGCAUGCUCAAGGUUUGCAGUGUGACUGAAGCCAUAUGAUUGAUUUUAUUGCCUUGUAGCUGCUGCCCUCUUAUCCCUAAUGUUAUUCCAAGUGACUCUGCUCACAUGGAAUAAAUCUCAUAGUUAUAUACAUUAAAGACCCUUUUGCAUCCUGUUUCCAUUUUAAUUUCAGGUUAUGCACUGAAGUAGGGGAACUGUUUCUCAGUAACAAAUUUGUAACAGUGCCUAAGGUUCUGACUGAAAGUUACAUUGGCCAACAUGGUGUUGAGCAUCUCCUGAAGGUUCCAUCACGCACAUUCGUGCUUACAACUGUCCAACUCCACCAUUGACCAAGAUAUUUACUGCUGGCCCCCAACCCACUUGAAAGCAAACAGACUGUUCAUUUCUGAAUCAAUAAUUAGCUGUCAAACCUUUUCUCAUUCUUUAUUCUAAUUACUAAUUGUAUAUUCUACCAAAAUGGCGGAGGAAAGGGAGCCUUCAUUUUUUGAGGCGAUAAUGAUUUUUUUCUGUCUGGUUUUCUGAUAGCAUCAUCUCAUAAAUAAAUCUUAAACUUCUUGAGGCUCCACAGCAGUUCUGGAGGGUUGGCAGCCCUGCUGAAAGCUUGUUACUUUGUGGCUAUUAAGUGGUUGCAGAUGACUUCUAUAAUCGUACCAUCCAAAAGCGAACAUUUAAGUUAAGUAGCUAUUAUUGGCUUUCAGUGUUUUGUCUUUUGUUGCCCGUUAACUAGAACAUAAUGUUAUAUAUUCUGUAAAAGAAUCAAAUUGCCUGUUUGUUUUCUCCAAACUGAAUUUAUUACUUUUGGUUUAGAAAUCUACAAAUUAACACAAGCCUUUCAUCUUCAGAUACUUUUACAGACAAACUUACAAUAAUGGCUAAGUGAUAAUGCUGACCUGGAGAUGCAUGUUAGCCCAUCAUGUAAGCACCUAUGGAAUCAUAGAAGGUCAUUUGUUCGAUGCAUCUAUGCUGGCCUGUUGCUAGCGAUAUCCAAUUUAGACCUACUCCCUCUCCACUCCUUCACCAAAGUUUUGUAAAUGUUUUCAUUUGUUUUUUUGGUUUAUAUUCUCAAUUAUUUUUCUGUACCCUUUUGAAAGCUAAUGUUGAAUCUGCUUUCACCACCCUUUCAGCCUGCAUAUUCAUAAGUAAUGACUUUUUAAAAACAAUCAAAUGUACACCUGUCUAUCUUUUGUUCUUUAUCUUCCUCAAGCAAAGCAACCAUCCCUUUACUUUUAUUUUGGAAAAUCUUUGAGUAUUGUUCUUGUUGACCUGCCAAGCAAUGUGUUUGUGAGCUGAGCACAUGUUUAACUUCACUGUCUGGUCAUUGCUUGCCAUCCCUGUGUUUCUGAAUAGUUUCUGGCUGUGAGUGAAUUUCUUCCACUGAGGUAACGUUAGACUUCUGGGAAUAUCUCCUGAUCAAAUUCGUGACCCUGAACUUUAAGUAGGGUUAACAGUGUUGUACUCAAGACCACCUUGUAACUAUUUCUGACUUAAGUGGUCAAGAAUGAAUUUUAGUGCGUGAGAUGUCAUAUGGAUGGCUUCAUUAUCCUCUGAGGUCAAGAUUGAACACUGUUGCGUUAAGCAGCAGCUACUUCUCAUCACAAAUUUGAUGUGGUCAGAUUUGUUGAUCAGAGCUGUUGAGUUUUGCCUGUACCUUUGGAGUAUUCACAAUCUCUGGCAUUUUCAGCAAGGACAGAUUAGCAAAUUUCUAAUAAUCCAGCACUGUAGCCAAGCAGAAGGGAGUAUAAUGCGGAUCAUUGUUGGAGCUGCAACAGGAGAUUAUUCCAGGCUCAUCAAAUUGCAUGAAAAGUUGAGACAGUUUUGUCUGUGAGGAGUAAGAACUGACCUAUUUUUCAUUUGAGGCUUUCUUUUAUGAUUGCGUUUGAUGUUCUGUCAUUCAGUAUCCUUUUCCUAGAAUUGUAUAGUACAGAGGCCAUUCAGCUCACUGUACCUGUGCUGACCCUUGGAAAGGGUCAUCCAGGUCGUUCUCCUUUCCCUCUCCCCACUGUCCUGCAAGUUUUUCUGUAAUUUUACAUUCUAUUCCUAAUCUCGCUUUUUGCUAGCUCAUACACUGAAGGGAAGGUUAACUCUUAAAUUGAAAAGAAAUGAGAAGUGGUUUUCUAAUCAGUCUUUGGUGUCCUCCAUUCUGGAUGUUUACUGCUUCCUGCCUUUUUGAGCAGAUUGUUAAGUAUUGGGCAUGCUGAAGAUUUAAAGAUCUGAAGAUUAUUGGAACAAAAAUACCACAUUUUGCAAGUAAUAUUAUAAUUCCACUAAAGAAUUCAAAUCUGCCAAUUAUAAUUUUUUGAUGCUCAAUUGCCAUUGCAGCCCCCUCUAAUUUUAUAUUGAUUUUAAUUCUUUUUUGAUUGCAGUAUAUUGGAACCUAAACUGUUGAAUCCAACUUCCUUAUCCCACAGCAAAACUGUGGAGUCAAGGAAAUAAGGCCUGUCAUUUACCUGAUAUGAUGGGGAUGAGGUGCUGGAUUCAGUAGUGCUUGUGCCAGAAACUUGUUCAUGAGUUUUGGACAAAUACAAAAGCAGGUCUUACUUUAGUGUUAUCUUUCCCAAAGAAUUUGAAUUGAUGCUGAGUCUAUUUAGCAAGUUGGCACAAAUACACUUUGGCAGGGGUGAUACAUUUAUAUUCCUUCAGAUGUAAUUCAUCACAUGUUGCUCAUCUUUUCCAACCACAUACCAAUAUUUGCGUGUUGGAGCACAAAGAACUUCUGGUAGUGUUUUUGACAAAAACAAGAUUAGUUUUUAAUAAUUCUGUACCGUAGCUAUGCAGAAGGGAAUAUAAUGCAGAUCAGUGGAGUUGCUUUAGGAGCUUUUUCCUGGUUCAGCAUAUUACAUGGGCAUGUAUUUAACUCUUUAACACACUUUUGUUCUGUUCGGAUUCAGUGGCCUCCAAAAGUUUAGAAACAAGCUCUAUAAAUAAAAGCAAAGUGCUGCAGGUGUUGAUGAUGUGAAAUACAGACAGUGUUGAAGAAACUCAGCAGGCAAAGACAAGAGGUGAGAACUUUUUUAGCUCAGAGGGUGGUGAGAGCCUGAAACACUCUGCACAAAAGGAUAGUUGAGUCAGAAACAGUCCUAAAAUUUAGUCAUUUGUGUUGUCAUAGCCUCCAGGGUUAUGGACGAAGAUCUUGAAAAUUGGUCAGAUCUUUGACCAGCGCAGUCAGAUCUUUGACCAGUGCAGACACAGUGGCUUCCUUCUGUGUUUUAGAUGUCUGAGUCUACAGUGUCCAGCUAGAUCUGUGGAGAGAGAAACAGAAUUAACAUUAAGACUCCAGUGUUAUGUUUCUUAGCAGCUUGAUAAUUGUUAAGUUGAUUGCUUAUUUUCAGUUUCCUGGGUUUGACAAUUUUGUUUGCACUUCCAUUUCUGUUUUGCUGAUCUUUGAGUAAUGAAGUAGCCCCCACUGUCUGCUUUCUUAUUAAUCUCCUCCAAUGUGUAGACCCAAACCGUGUCCAAGCCAUGAAAUGUCUUUCCAGGGAAUGACUGCACAUCACUUGCAUUCAUUGGUAAAUUUUGCAGAUAUAAUGUCCUGGGGCUUUUUCCUAAAUGCACUUCAAAUACACUGAAGGCGUCAAUAUCAUAAUAUUGAAAUCUCCAAUCCCUAAUCCUGAAAGUGCUGUUCCAUUUCUUUGUAGGCUGUAGCUAUGACUUUUGCAAAGAAAAGUGACGUGUUGUUAGGCAUUGAACUGCUCUAUUUCAAAGCAUAUGCCAAGUGAUCUGUUGCCACCUACAAUAUGGGAAUGACCAUUUUCACUGCUGCUGUGAAUAAAAGCAGAACUGUUGAGAGGACAACCAGUGAUGUUUUAUUCCUUUACAGGAAUGUGGGCGUUAUGAUUGCCCCUCCUUAAUUUCCCUUAAGAUGAGGAGUCACUUGAGUUGCUGCCACAAUAUAAAAUCACUUGAUAUGACAAUCAGUAUUGUGAUUCAGCUUUUCCUUCCUUUUUAAAUCCUAGUUUACUGUUGAUUGACUGAGGGAGAGGAUAUAUGAACAUUUGUAUCCUGGUGCCUCUUCAGUCGAUCUAAGUUUUUAUUCAACAACCUACAUUUAUAUAGCACUUUACAUCAUGAUGUAAAAUAGUAUAGUGUCCUAAGGCACAUUCGAAUUUCACACUGAGCUAUCUAGAGAGAUAUUAGUAUUGGUGACUAAAGGCUUGGUCAAAGAGAGAUGUUAAGGAGUGUCUUAUAGGAGGUAGAAGAAAUUUUAAUAGGAAAUUCUUGAGUUUAGAGCCUGUAUCUAUAGACAUGGCUGUCACUAGUGGUUGGAUGAAAAUCAUGAAUGCAGAGGAAGGAGGGCCUGGACGAGUGCAGAGACCUCAGAGUUUUGUAGGGCUGUAGAAGAAUUUAAAAACUUUGUAAGACACAUACUGUUGGACAAAAAUUUGACAACUAUCUGAUAAAUUUCACCAAUAGCAUAGCUCCAGUCAAGUGAAUUCAGUACUGACAGUAUGUCAGGCAGUAGGAAAGGUUUAUUUUAACAAAGCAUCUAAUUUUAACCAAAACCACAAAUUAGCUUUUUAAAUACAGUACAAAAUGCUUAACAUGCUUAAUGUGUUUACCUCUUUGAAUCUUGAUGUAUCUUCCAGCAGUUGGAAAUAUUUUAAAUGUUUUCAUGCAGGUACAAAACUUGGUGUAUUUGCCUUCAGGUUUCUUCUUUAAUUUGGAAUUUUCCACUUUUUAAAACUUUCAUGUGACAGUAGAACAAAAAAAGUUUUUUUGGACGGGCUGACAAAGGGUUGCUGUCAUUUAUUGAACAUCUGAACUAACGUUGUUCACCAUCUUAGAUUUAGACAUGAUUCAAGUUGCUUUGCAGGCUACCUUUUAGUUCAGAUGUGGGAAUGUUUCUCUUUUCCUUCUCCCCCCUCACCCACUCCUCUGCUUCACCAGCCACUACAAGCUCUCUGUGUAUGUGCGUAUCAGUUCUGGCUCAUGUUGGUAGCACUCCCUCCACUGUCUGAAGGUUGUGACAUUGAAGUCCCAUUCCAGCACGAUGUCCAGUACAGAACUUUCUGAAAAGAUACCAUGCUGGCACCCAUUUUCUCUCUCUCAGAUCUAAAAGAUCUCAACGUUGAUUUUGAAGAGGCUGAGGAAAAUUGAUCCCCAUAUCCUGGCUAAUGCUUACUAUUCAAUCAGCAUCACUGUAAAAACCAUCUAGCCAUUAGCACAUUGCUAUUUAUGGAGCUUGCUGUGUUUUUGACAAUAAAACAAUGAUUCACACUUAAAAAAUAAAGUGCUUUUGAGAUGUCUUGAAGUUGUAAAGUUUGCUACAGAAAUGCAAGUCUGUAGUCUCCUCCACUACCUUUGCUACCCUGUCUGACUCUCAAAAAAGGUUCUGAGAUUUAUAAAUUGCAAUUCUUUGUGACUGAUUAUAGAUAUUGGUUAAUUUGUCUUUGACAGUGGGGUGGUGUGGCAGGGAGAGGAAAGAUGUUGCAAACACAUAUUUGUAUUUUCAUGAACUUCGGAUUUCAAAUAACACCUUGAAAAGCAAUGUGACAGAUUAAUUCCUGAAAGAGGUGGAGAAUUCUGUUUUCCUUUUAACUUUCACGAUUGGAGUUGCCCCCUCUCAGCAAUCUUGCCUCUCACCCUUGAUGUUAAAUCAUGCAGGUCUGUAGGACUGUGUAUAUCUCAGGCAAUACUUUCUGUUCACAGGUCUGUACAUUUUUUUUUAAGAGCAAUACUUGCUGGUAUGCAAUAUUGAUGUGUUGUACCACGAAAUCCUUACCUCCUUGCCCAAUGGUCCUUUGCAGAUUUUUAAAAGUUUAGCUGCUAGAUUAAUACAGUUUCAACUGGAACAUGUAUAAUUCUUUUUCUGAGCAUUUUAACUCUUUUCGGUGGGGAUUGAGGUGAUAAACAGUAUUGUGCUUAAAGAUUUUGCUCAUCCAAAUUAGAAUAAUAUUUGAGCCCAGGAAUCUUGCCUGCUUUGUUUGUGUAGAUUUGUUUGGCUUCUUCUCCAGAAUGUGAUUUAUUUAUUGCGAGGGGGAGUGGAUGUUGUAUUUGUCCUAAGUUUUAGUUUGUAAAGGACAGAGCCCUUUUUGGCUCAUGGAAACCAGCAUUCAGAGGAAACAAAUAUUUUUGAAGAAAAUGAAUUUAUUCUUUGGCUGAUUUAAUGCUAUGAUUUAACGCCAUUUUGAAAAUCCAUUGUGUUAAAAUCUAUUGCAUGACCGAGCAUAUUUGAGUAUUUUCAAGGUUAACUACUUGAAGGGAAGAAAUUGGUGGGGUUGUUGGGAAAGCGCAGAGAUGUGGGACUCAAUGGGCAGCUGUACCAAAGAGCUGGCAACGGCAUGAUGGGUUAAAUGGCCUUCUUUUAUGGUGUACCUGUCUGAUUUUUCUUAAGUGUAAUCUUUGGUCCAUUUCCAAAUUUUGAACAGUGUAGAAGGAUUUCCAGUUGUCAAAUCUAUUUACAAUCCCAGAUAACCUGUUGCCUUGACUCCUGUCCCUUCUCUGCAUGUUCUCCUCCCGUUUGGGAGCGUGAGCUGAUUCAGACCUGGGAACAAACAUUUUCCUCACUGACAACUGACGUUCUAUCAUGAUCUGAUAGCAAUAUGGGAUAAGAGGCUUGCCCCAGUUGGGUCCUGGUGAUAUCUACUUGUGCUCAUUUUUCAGAGGUCUAUACUGUUUAAUUAAUAAUUAUUUCUCUGUUGGGGUCUCGCGUUUUGAAAAUGUCCUUGUUCACCAAUGUAUUUGAAGCAAUGAAAAGUGUGUUUACUUUUUCCAAAUGAUUAUUGUGUACAAUGAGAUAUUAAGAGGUAUGUUUGGAGCCCUGCUCUUCAGUGUGCUGUGUAGGGCUGCUUAUAUUAUUUGUUUUCUUUUUUAUAAACCAUGGAUUUUAAGUUCAUUUUUCAAUGCAUUAAAUUCACAUUGCAACAUAAAUAGUUAAACGUGCACCCAGUGUAGAUUUAUAAACUUCGUUUUUUUUUAUUUUUAGCAACUGUCAACUUUUAUUUUUGAAAUAUCAUUUGCACUCCUUUAUUUUUCCAAUGUAGGCUUGUUUUGCAGUUAUUUUCAAGUUCACAUUUUAAUGAGAUCAAACACCAGAGAAUUCACUUCUAAUUGCUAAUUAACUUCCCAAUAUUUUUCGCUGUGUGAGAAUCAACUGCUGAUUGAAUAAGGCUUGCACAGAUUUGGCUAUUUCAAUGCACCCAUUUAUAUCCCCUAGACGUGUGAAGGGUGUGCUCGCAGUAUGGAAUUGACUGUCUCCUUCACACAGAGGAGAGUUAUGCAUGAACGCUGUUCUACCUUGAACUUUGUAUAGAGAACUAGAUAUUUAUGACAAGUCACAGAUGUAAUAAGUGAAGUUUACUUGAGGUUUUCACUCUUUUUAAUGUGGCUAGCUGGAGAGAAUAGCCAUGUUGUUGGUCACCUGUGUGUUUUACUGAGGCUCGCUCCACUGUUUAAAGUUUUGUUCCCACUCCAGCCUCCAGCUUGGCUUGAUUCAAGAGACUUCUCCUGAACUGUCUCUGCACACACUGAUGUUUGAGCUGGAUUAUUUGAAAUAAAUAGUUUGAACAAUUUCUUAAA